UCGGAACUUGUGGCUACGUAGCUCCAGGUGGCGUUUUCUUUUUUACUUGAUUUACUGACCUUUUCUCUGAACAUAUAGUUGAAUUUCUUCUUACUAAUUUGUGUAGGUAGAACUUGCUUAUACAAUGAUUGUCACCGAAAAAUGCGAUGUUUAUAGUUUUGGAGUGAUAGCACUGGAAACAUUAAUGGGAAAGCAUCCUGAAGAAGUGUUAUCAUGGUUGUCAUCACCAACUUCUUUGGUAAACAUGAAGCUGGUUGAUGUGUUAGACAACCGUUUACCACUUCCAACAAGUCAACUAGUUACACAAAAUCUUGUUCAUGUUGAUACACUGGCAUUCGCUUGCUUAAAUCCACAAACGAAGUCCCGACCAACAAUGAAGGAAGUGUCUGAAUGGUUCCUUUCUCGCCAUACAUCCUUGGGAAUUCCUCUUUGGAUGAUCUCUUUGUUACAACUCAUGAACCGUGAAAUGCAUAUUAAAGGCAAAACUAAAACUUGUGAUGUUUAAAGUCCAUGCGCUUGUUGAUUAGAUAUUGUUUAUCAUGCUCUGAUAAUUUGUUUGUAAACCAUCUCUGGUUUUAUAUAUGAUGGAAUGAAUUGCAAUGUUUAAUAAACCCGUUUAUUCGGUUGCUUUAGAAGACAUAAAUUCUACAAUUUGAUCCAAAUAUUAAGACAUCAUCGCUGGCUGCUUCCUUGAAUUUUGUGCUUCUUUCAAACCAACUCAAAGAUAAAUAACAUAAAAGUAAAUUAAGGGUGAAUCAAAGCAACAAAAUGCAAUCAAUACAUACAUCAAGAAUUCACCUCAGCUAUCUAUAAUUCAUGAAACAAUCUCUCAACUUAUAAAAUGUAAGUGAGACUCCACAGACCUGAUAUCCAAACUCAAAAGCAAUAAAAGGCGUCAUCAGAACCCUGGCAAGUGAAGACGACAAUCUUUUCAAGCAAGGUAGCGAUACAACUUCCUGUCACCUUUAUCCCUCUCCAGGAACUCCCGCUCAAUAAGGGACUCGAUCCGUUUCUUAAUUACAACGGGGUUGGGCAGAAACCGUGACUGUAGCUGUUUUGUGACCUCAGCAACAAUGUUGUUAUGAUCCAGCACACGCCUAGCUUUCAUGAUCCUCACGAUUGCUGCCUCAAUUUGCGGUUUUCGAUCUUCCUCCACUCUCUGCCUAGUUUCUUGAUUUUCAGGUUCCGACUCCCUUUGCGCAGCCACAGUGCCUAUCUUGACCUUGAAGAACUUGCUUGUAUACUUGUCAUUGAAAAGAAAGGUAUCAGUGUCUACUAUGUCCUUGCUCAUAGGUUCUUUCCGAAGCACAUUUUUUCCCUUAACACAGGCAAGAGACUGCAAGCACCUUUUCAAGUCAAAGGUAGGAAUCUCGGUCACCUGCUCAAUCUCCUUAUAGCUUAGUCGAUCAGCAUCGUUGAAGAGCAUAAGGACACACAUCUGGUAUGUGGAAACAUUCAGUUCAUGCUUCUGUCCCUUACCAAAGGUUGCCUUCAAAUCAGCUGUCCCCAUGUUAGUUUGCCAAGACAAUCUCCGUCCGGUAUGGGUACCUAGGUAAUAAUUACGGAAUUUCUCACAUAUUCCCAGAAUUUCAGCAGGAAGUUUGCAUGUAGUAAUAGGUUGAGUUGGCCAAGAUCCAGUUGUCAGAACCUGGACAGAAAGCAUGGGACCAUCCCCUAUAUCCGAACCAUGACUUGCAUGGAAACCUUGCAUCGUAUCUUGUGAUGUCUUCAUAUCUGUGAACAUACCCUCCAACUUUGAGGUGAAUUGAUACCCACACUCUGUUUUGAGCUUAACAAUCAAACUUCUUUCAGCAUCAUCAGAGACGGACUUCCCUGAAAGAAGCCUUUUGGCCAAGUGUUGUUUGUAGUACUUCUCGAAAACAUCUUUCUCUUGAAGGUAACGGAAGAGCAUCAUCACCUUGUCGAGUAACAAUUCCACAUCCUCUUCAGUAACCCCCCUCAAACCUUUUCGAAGCUUAUCAUCAACAAACAAAGAGAUGAACUCUGGAGACCGAGAAUUCAGAUUGAUGAAAUAUUCAAACGAGGAAUUUAAUGCAUUUUGAAAAGUCUUGUCAUUUCUAAAUGCUGAAGUGAUAAUCUUGUCGUAUUUGUCCUUUAAAUCCAACAGAUGUUGCACAAAAUCGACAGGAUCCUUCAGCCUUUCGGGAUCAGUGAGUAACUGCUUACCAGUAUCACGAAUGUAUGAAGUCAUGACAUCUCUGAUUAAAACAAGCCCAUUGGAUACUCGACGAAACAAGUAAUACAUCCUUCCUAAGUCCUCAUAUUUUUCAUCGACAAUCAUAUUAAUCAACCCCGAGUUCUCCAUUUGCACAAGCCUGUGCAUAUGACUUUCAAUCAUCUCCGUUUCUACCACAUUUGUUAUCUUGACUUCACUUCUGGUGUCCAAGUAAUGUGAGACUCUCUCUAUUUCUUCAUUUAGGCGUCUCUCGGCUUUCUUUAGAUACUCCCCACAAUCACAUUACAGUCAUCUUCUAACCCACAAUCAUUUGUGCUAUGAGCUUUUGGGCACUAUUCCGGAUAAAAUGGACGGAGGCAAGAUCGAGAUGGGCUAGUUGCGAGACACACUCCUGGAUCCGGAUGAAGAUUCAACCGAAAUAGAAAGAAUCCGAUAUGCUCGGGCAUACAUUCUUCAGUUAAUUGGAGGUUAUCUAAUGAUAGACUUGUCACGGAGCCGCGUACAUCUAAUAUGGCUGCUGAAACUCGUUGAUUUUAGAGCAGCUGGUGAAUUCAGUUGGGGGUCUACCGUCUUGGCCACAUUAUAUCGGGAGAUGUGCGGGGCGACGUGACCGAGGAGAGUAAAAAUCAGAGGUUGCCUGUCACUACUGCAAUCAUGGGCACGGUUUCGCUUUCCAUUUUUAUGUCCUCGAGUGGACCACCCAUAUACAUUCCCAUUCAUAACGAGGUAAAUUUUAUAUUAGAUUUUACAAUUAUUAUGUAGAUAUUUAAAAAUAAAAGUAUGCUAAAAGUUUAUUUAAUUAGGUGGAACCAUCCGGCAAGUCAUGCUCGAUUACCUACCGAACUUGAAAAUAUACGGCUUCUAUUAGACCAACAGUCGGAAGCACAUGUAAGUAUUAAAUAAAAUUGAUAUUUCCAUCAUUCGCUAGUCGAUUGGUAAAUAGUAUUUAGUAUUUAGUAUUUAGUAUUUAGUAUUAUGUAUAUAACUAAUAUUUCUAUAAUGUUCACAUAGUUUCAAUGGACACCAUACGAGGAUCCGGCAAUUUGGGCAAUAAUUCCGGAUGAGUUCUUACAAAAUCGAAACGCUUGGCACGUGAAAGUCGUGUUGAUCAACUACACGACCAUGGAGCCACACCAGUCAGACAGAGUGCUACGACAGUUUGGAUGUAGACAACUAAUUCCCGUGGAACCUGAGGUGUUUGACGAUCAACACAAAAUCGACCUUCGGCAAUUGAAUACGGAUUGGCCAAGAUACUGGUUCGAGUACAUGGAAAUGUGGGAAGAUCGGUAUGAAUACAUACCUACUCUGGAACCAAUCAUCGUUCCGGAGUUAGUGUGGGUGCUGGAAUACAUGUCAUGGUUUAGGAUUCAUGGCAAGCUGUAUUUACUGACGCCAGAGGAGAGGCAGCGGCAAUUACGUGUCCAAAGGGAAAGGCGCAGGCCUCAAAAUCCAAGACGACAAGACGACGACGCUAGCCCCUCAACGAGGCCUAGACAUUCACCCGGCCCAUCAUCAGAGGUCAUGCAAUCACUAGGCCCAACGAGAGUACCGACACAGUCACCUGACCCAGCAGUCCAACCGAUGAUACCCACGCAACCGCUUUUUCAGAUGAUGCCAGGUGCGUUUCCUAGCCUUUUUAUAUAUCCUAACCCUUAUAUGUAUCCUUUUCCGAGUCCUAAGGCAGGUUGGAGCCAAUGGCCCGGUUCAGCUCCGUUUCCUGUUACGCCGAGUGGACCGCCGAUGUAUAGGUCAGCAGCACACGAGGGAUCGCAAGAGGGGCCGUCGAGGAGCUCUUCUUUUUACCAAUCCCCACCACCGUAUGAGUUUCAAACACCGUCACCGUUGGUGAUGCAAAAACCUCCACAUUCACUAUUCUUUGAAGGUGGAUCAUCGUCCCAACUCCGACAACCAGAUACCCUACCAGAAGAACCAGAAUCCCCGCCACAGGAACCACAACCGCCACCGGAAGCUGGACAAAGGAGGCAUCCAGCGCGUAACCAUCGACGGCCGCCAUGUGGCACUGAAUCCAGCGGGCACAGACAUUGAUUUUUGUAUUUAAAUUUAUUUGUACAAAUAUUUUGAAUAUUUUGAUACUAUUUGAUGUAAUAAAAUAGAAAUUGUUUUGAGUUAUUACUUAAAACCCUAAACUAAUUUCUUAAAAAUUUAUAAAUCUAUAAUUUAUAAUUUAAUUGACAAACCUUAAACCCCAAAACUAAAAACCCUAACCCUAAUCAUAACCCUUAACUUAAAAACUCUAACCUUUAAAUUAAAAACACUAAACCCUAAACCUAAAAACCAUAAACCCUUAAGCUAAAAACCUAACCUUAGACCCUAACCAUUAACCUAAAACACUAACCUUAAACCCUAAACUCAUAAACCUAAAUACCCUAACCCUAAACCCUAAACCCUUAACCUAAAAACCUUAACCAUUAACCUAAGAACCCUAAACCCUUAACCUAAAAACCCUAACCCUCAACCUAAAAACCUUAAACCCUUAACCUAAAAACCCUACACACUAAACUUAAAACCCUAAACCCUUAACCUAAAAAUCCUAACCCUUAACAUAAAAACCUUAAACCCUUAACCAAAAAACCCUAUACACUAAACUUAAAACCCUAAACCUUAAAUCUAAAAACCCUAACCCUUAACCUAAAUUUCAUAAACCCUUAACCUAAAAACCCUAACCCUGAACCUAAAUUCUAUAAACCCUUAAUCUAAAAACCCUAACCCUAAACCUUAACCUAAAAACCUUAACCCUCAACCUAAAAACCCUAACCCUUAACCUAAAAACCCUAAAUGCUUAACCUAAAAACCCUAACCCUCAACCUAAAAACCCUAAACCCUUAACAUAAAAACUCUACACACUAAACUUAAAACCUUAAACCCUUAACCUAAAAACUCUAACCCUUAACCUAAAAACCUUCAACCCUUAAACUAAAAACCCUAACCCUCAACCUAAAAACCUUAAACCCUUAACCUAAAUUCCAUAAACCCUUAACCUAAAAACCCUAACCCUUAACCUAAAUUCCAUAAACCCUUAACCUAAAAACCCUAACCCUCAACCUAAAUACCCUAAACCCUUAACAUAAAAACCCUAACAUAAAGGCUUAAAAACUAUCCUUGUCCCUUAACUUAAAUAUAAUUUGAUAAUUUUACUAACCAUUAAUACAAUUAUCAGUUAAUAACUUUACAUUCACGUAAUGUUAGAUUUGGAAAAAUGUUUUGACUAGUACUAACAAUUAAUAAUUUUAUAUAAUUUUAUAAUUUUUCUAACAAUUAAUACAAUUAUCAAUUAAUAAUUGAAAAAAUAUAAUUAGCAGCAAUUACAUUCAACUAUUGCGAUUAGGGCAUGAUCGACUUGUAUGGCCUAGAUUCCUACACCAUCCGCACAACUUUUGUUGACUGGCUGUUUCUCGGAUAGCCAUAUUGUUGCGUAUUCUAGUCGAGCAAGGUCGACCCCUUGGUUUGCGACGCAAUUUUCUAUCCAGUAACAGCUUAAAAUGAGCAAGAGAUACGGGCAGCCACUUACGUUCAUCUGGGGCCAGUGGGAAAACGUGUCUCUAGAUGUUGUACAUGUUUUCUAAUUUGUACACUUCGUCCACAUAGCUCAUCGGAUCCAGACGGAGAUUCUGACAAGAUACAAUAACAUGAGAGCAUGGAUAACAAAGUGCAUCAAAACUCUCACGGUCGCAAGUCCUAUUUCGCAAGUCUACAUGAUAUUGCCCACCAACAACACUUUGGAGCGGUCUAUCAAACUCUGUCACGCGAAACAAUAAGUUGUCUCAAUCGUGACACACGGUGUGCAUGGUGUUUGCCCGCGCCUUGGCCUUGUGAAUUUCUUAAACUACCUUGCUGCACCAUACAUGGCCUCUCUGCAUCUGGCCUGCAUAACUUGCUGCUCGCUUUGGAAAUAGUGCCACCAAACGAAAAUAUGUCUCUCGCACAACUGAUGUUAUCUGUAGAUGACGCAUUUUUUUAAGAACAGAAUUUAUGCAUUCAGCCAAGUUUGACGUCAUAUGGCCAUAUCGUAGGCCGUCGUCGUAUGCUUGUGCCCACUAUUUGAAACGUAUGUUAAAAGGUAGUACGCCCCUCCUUUGUUAAUUGAACGUAAAAUUGCCAACAUCUCGUGAAAACGGUCUUUAUUUAUUUCAUACCCUACCAAUAUAAGUUCAUAGAGAAUAUUACAUGCCACUUAUACUAAUAAAACUAAUUCAAAUUGACAAACGAAAAACACAAAUAUAGACUAAAUACACAUGUUGGUCACUUGUCGUCAUUCGUUCUUAGAUGGAUAUUGACUGUAGUAGUUGGGAGCAACGUGUCUUAGGCAAUAUCGAUGGUGCGUGCGCUGCCAUAAGCUUCCCUCUCGAUCAAAUGCAACUAGUAUAUCGGUGCCCCGAUCUAAAAUAACACAGAUAUCAGGUUGGGGGCACACAUGCCUCCUUAACCUAGAGAGAAAGAAAUCUCAAUCAUCAGAUGACUCCCCCGGUGUUAUUGCAAAUGCAAUUGGAAGAAUUCUCCCACCGCCAUCCUGUGCCACUGCAAGCAAUAGCCGAUGAGUAUACCUACCAAACAUAAAGGUACCGUCAAUUUGUACCAAUGGCUUACAGUAUGGAAAUGCGUCUCGGCAUUGCUUAAAGGUCCAAAACAGGUGUUUGAACACUCGGCAUCCACGUAGCAAUCGGCCGUUGUAGUACGCAUGUUCCGUUUGAAGGUCUAUGAUGGCACCUGGGACGUACCUCUCUAGCACUUGACACCACUGCCAUAUUUUAUUAUAUGAGGCAUCCCACCCACUAUGCAUCUUCUCCAAUUCCUUUUGCUUAGCUAUCCAAGCCUUGCGGUAAGACGGCGUGUACCCUAUUUGGCUACAGAUAUUGGCAAUUAACACCGGCACUGAAGUCUUGGGAUCUGCUUUUACCGUGGGCAGUAUCAAGCUAGCUAACAUAGCUAAAUCCAUCUUGGGAUGAUCUUGUAAAACACCUAUAAUUGGAGUACAUUAAAUAAUGCAACAUUACAUAAUAAAAGUAUUAUUCAGAAACCGUCAAUAUUGUACCUACAGCACAUGUAUGUGGACCUUUGUACUUUUUAAUCUCCCACAACCCUGUCCUUUUCCUUAACGAGGCGUAGGUUUUCCAUGAACAUGUGCCGUCUUGUACCGCAUACUUCACCUCAAACUUAUCAAAUUUCAAUUUAACGACGUGGUAGUUAACGUCGUUUUUGAUGCUAUGUUGUUUCAAAGCACCAAUAAAACUAUCCUUGUUGGUAAACUGAUUGCCAACUUUAAAUUCACCCGAAUCUAGCCCCGAACUUGUACGAUCACGCAACAGGUGUGGUAGAUCUGGAAACUCUAACGUAUCAUCUGCAGACAGAUCGACAUUAUGUAUGUGGGCUAGAGGUGAGUAUACUCUGAAUCAUGGAUUUUCUUCUUCAAUUGAACUCCUUUCAGCAUCUUCAUGUUCUGUUGGAAUAGGCUCCGGUUCAGAAAAUAAGCCAACUUCUGCACCAUCGGGCCCGAGCUCUCGAGGUGGAUCCACAUUACAGUCAUCUUCUAACCCACAAUCAUCUGCAGCGUACGAGGUCCCCUCACCGGUUGACGUCGUAGGGUGUACAUCAUCCCUUCUUCUGGGCAUUUCAUAACGUCCCCAAUUGGAUGUAGAUUGCCACCCACUAGAACUUGAUGUCGUUCCCUAAUACGUAUUUCUAGCAUCAAACGUCGAGCCACUGACGUACAUAUCCCAUCCACCAACAGAGUGUCUUGCAGGGGAUGUGCAUUCGACACCACUAUCAAAUAUGGGCUAUUCUGUGUUUUGUAACCUGCUAACCCAGUGUCAACUAGUGGUCAUGUAUACAUCUCGAACACCAGUCGCAAGUACAUCAUUUGGCGGUGUAAAUUGUACAUAUAACUCAAUAUAAGGUGCUCCACUAGCAAAAUGAGUCUGCACAAUUGCCUCCAAGUUACGAGCACCUUUUAUGUCGAACGAGUCAUAUGUCACCGGAUCAACAGAAGAACAAAAUCAACACGUGAUAGACAGAACUUUCAUUGGUGUCGUUCCAAAAAUUUUACGCCUAAUUCUUUUACGAAGUUUUGUCAAAUCUAUGUUCUGGUUAAAAACCAGUCGCACCGUAUUCUCCGAUAAAAAAACAACACCAUUCUCGGUAUGGCAAACCUCACCAUCGUAGUAAAUAACAGCACUAAUAUGUUCACUCAUAUUUGAAACUCUAACCUUCUUAGCCUCUCUAAAUUGUUUCUGCUGUGACUUAUGCAUUUUGAGAACAUUUUUUGCCUCAUUUAUAGCCUCAGCCCAAACAUGCUAUUGUAGCAAAAGCGCAUCCACGUGGGCACGAUUUCAUAAAUUCUUCUCAUAAAGCUUUUUUUUGGUAAAUUUAAAAAAAUAGGCUUUUUUUGGUAAAUUGCCCUCAAUUGGGUGCAAAAAGUUCGUAGGGGCUUAAUUGAUUUUUUUCGAAAAAGUUCGACGAUCAAAAAUACCUUUAAGCCCUACUUUAACUAUUGAUAUGUCUUUUUUAAUUAAUUUUACAUUCGUGCAUAGUAUAGGCACACAAUGUACGAGGUGUUUCCACGUAUACAUGUAAAGUGCAUUUUGAUGCCACGAAGGAAUUAGAUAAAAAUGUGAUUGUUAAGUUAGUAAUGUCACCUUCUAGUAAUUGAAAAGAAUUAGAUGCAUUUAGCUAGUAGAGUGUAAUUAUAUUGUAAUUCUUUGUGCCUUGUUUAGUAAUAUAAAUUGUAAUUACACAUUUACAAAUUUUAAAUUGUUUAAAAAGUAUUAAUUAAUAUAAAUAUUUAUCAAUAAUAUCUGAGAAAAAAUUUUAAACAAGUGACAUAAAUUAAAAUCAAAUCAUGUUAUGUUAGUCCAAGAAAAUAACCGACAACAUGAUUACCGAUAAAAAAAAAUAAAAAUAAACAUUAUAUGCAACUUUAUUAUUGCUUUAGCAUUCCAUGUUUGUUGGGUUAUUCCUUUUCUAACAUUUAACAUCUACUUCUUAUCAUCAUCUAUUAGUUCUUGACCAAUUUCUUCAUUGUUGAUACAAGGUACAACAAUGGAGGGGAGUAAGGAGGAGGUAAGGUGGAGUGAGUGGUGGUUUUGUGGAGGCCGGUUCACUUAAAGAGGUGGAGAGCCGAAAAGGAACAAGAGGAUAGGCUGAUUGCUGAAAGUGGAGAUGGCUGCUCAGAGUAACUUUAAGGAUUGGAAAAUCGAUCCAUUCUUCAUCGUUGGAAAGGUAUUUAUAAGAGAGGUCCACUUGUCCAUUAGCAUGACAUGGCAGGAUAAAUGUUCAGUCCCACCAAAUGUGUAAAGGAUAUUCAUGAACAUAAAGGAUAUUCAUGAUGGGCCCCAUUAUGUUAUUCAUUUGAUCAAUACAAGGUUGUUAUGCCCAUGCAAGUCCUAAUGGACUCAAGGAUGUGUUCACACCAAAAAAGGGGGUGCCAAGCCUUUCUAAAGGGUUGGUGCUCCUUUGAUCUUAGUGGAUGGUCCAGUGAGACAUCUUCUUAGGAAAACUCAAUGAGAGGGUUAAUGUUGUCUAUACUAUUGACACGUGUCCAUGUGGCGGGGAUAUAACAUUCAUCAUCUACAUCAAAAUCUGAAUAUGCAUCAUUAAGAUUAUUGAAAUCAUUUUUUUAUUUGUAUCAUUAAGAUUAUCAAGAUCUUUUUUUUUUCAUGUACUAUUUAAAAGUAUUGAUAAUUCCAAUUCCACCUAUAAAUGGAAUUGUGAAGUAUACAACAAGUUAGAACGAUUGAACAUUGUUUUUUGGACUAUAUUGAUGUGGUUUGUUAAUAUGAGAAAUAUUUUUUUAGAACAACAAAUAUCCUCUCAACCACAUUUCAAAGCUUUGAAUAAAGAGUUUGCGAGCUGUGUUUGGUACUUGUGUCUAGCUCUAUUCUUUCAAAUGAUAUCAUACCCCGUGAUAUACUGCAAAAAACCUUUUGCAUUUGCAUAAUCAAUAUCUAUCACAUAAUAUUUCCUAAAAAACAUGUAACAAUUUAAAUGAUUUGUGAGAAAAAUAAAAUAACAGCAAGGUGAUGAUAAUAUUAAUGUAUUUAUGAAGUACAAUUUUGAUCUAUUUUCUCUCUCAAACAUCAUUCUUAGCAUUCUAGUAUUUGAGGCACAAAUCAACUUUAUAAUCCUUCAAUUAUAAUAGUUUUUAUAAAUCUAAUUUGCAGUUUACUAUGUGUUCAAUAAUAAACCAACUUUAUAACCUUUUUAUAAUAUUUCGAUUGCUAUUAUUUCAUGCAAUUUAGAUAAAUAUAUAUAUAAAUUUUAUAAUAUAACAUUUAUAAACAAUGUUUUUAUAAAGUGCUGAAUAGCUUUUAUGGUGCUUAUGUUAAAGUGCUCAAAUAUGUGUCACACAAUAAUAGUAUAAAAAUUAUAACACACGAUUUAUAAGCAUAAUUUGCUAGGUUAAAAUUUGCUUUAAAAAAAUACAGGAGUUAGGUGACAUGGCAAGGGUUUCUCCUACCUUAAUCAAUAAUCGAGGGUUUGAUCCUUACUCUAGGUAUGGAGUAGUUUUAAAACUUGUGGCCAGUAUCUACCCCCUUAAUGGGCUUACAGAAUGUGAAAGAUUAGUUAUCGGGCUUGCUUAGGUAGAUAGAUUGAGAAAUCAAAAAAAAAUUACACAAAAUAUUUUGACUUAUGUGUCUAAUAGCAAAGCAAUUUUGACCCGAUAAGAUAUAUAUAAUUAUACUUAAAAAAAUAUAAAAUAUAUGUCCUAAAAUUAAAAUAUAUUAUUAUAUUAAAAUAUUUUUUGUAAAUUAAAAUAUAUUAUUAUUGCAUUAAAAUAAUUUUUGUAAACUUGUAUAAAAAAUAAUUUCUUAAAUCAUGUACAUGUGUUUAAAAAACUAUAAGGUAAUUAGUAAUUUAUUGUAAUUACUCGCGUAAUUACCCCAACUCUCAACCCCUAAAAAUUGAAUAGCAUAAUUGAGGUGCUAAAAUUACAUUCAAUUUAGUGAACCCACAAAUCACAAUGGUUUUCUAAACACGCCACACAUUUGCAAUAGCAAGUAAUUGCACUCAAAUCUAAUAUUUGCAUGAAAUAUUUGAAUUUAUAUGUCUAAUAGCAAAGCAAUUUUGACCCAAUAAGAAAUAUAUAAUUAUAUUUUAAAAAUAUAAAAUAUAUGUUCUAAAAUUAAAAUACUUUAUUAUUAUAUUAAAAUAACUUUUAUAAAUUUGUAUAAAAAAUAAUUUCUUAAAUCAUGUACGUAUGUUUGAAAAACUAUAAGGUAAUUAGUAAUUUAUUGUAAUUACUCGCAUAAUUACCCAACUCUCAACUCUCUAAAAAUUAAAUAGUAUAAUUGAGGUGCUAUAAUUACAUUUAAUUUAAUGGACCCAUCAAUAACAAUAGUUAGUCAAACAUACUAUACUUUUAUAAUAGCAAUUAAUCACACUCAAAUCUAAUAAUUAAUUUAUAUUGAAAUCUUCAAAAUCAUAUACUUUGUGGUCCAAGUUAAACUGAUUUUUUUUUUCAAAACAAUUGCAAAGAAAAUUCAUGAAAUUAAGUUGUUUUCAAAUAAUUAAUUCACAUUGGGAUUUUCAAAUAAAAUGUCACAUUAAUAAUAUUUCAAUCAUUAAAAUAUUAUGUAAGACAUUUUGCUUAUACAAGAAAUAUGAAAAAUUCUAAAAUUUAAUCCAGUUUAAUCUGCUGAAGGAAAUGACUCUAACACUGACCUAAUUCAAUUAAGCCUCUGAAAUUAGCUUAACUUCAUAAAACUUAAUCCAGUUUAGUCAUUCUAAAGUCUCUAAUUUUGUUUAAAAGAGUUUUUAAAUAUAUAAAUGAUUUUAAAUUUGUAUGUUUUAAUAUGAAAUUCAUUAUAUUGUAGUAAGAUUUAAUGUGGCAUGUUUAAAAUUUUAAUUUAACUCAAAUAAUUUCAUUUAAUUUGGCUCGACUCAAAUUUUAUUUCACUUGAUUCGAUUUGAAAAAAAAUUCAAAUUGAAUUAGAAUGAUAAAAUGAGACUCGUCAACUCGAAAUUAUUUUACUCGAUUCGAUCCAACACUCACCCUUAGUAAUUGCAUCAUUGAUACUAAUAACAACAUAAAAAAUGUAUACUUAUCUUUUCUAAUCAAUAUGCAGGCACGAAAUGGAAAUUUCCAUGAGAAAGAAGUAUAUCGCGUAUGAAAAAGUAAGUUCCAUGACAUCGGCUGAAGCAAUAACAACAAAUGCAAAAAGACAUUGACUCCUAUGGAAAUCCAUCAGUUUGGAAACUAUAACGUAUAUGCUACGACUCGGUGUUUUUUGGUGUGUCACCCGUUAGACUUUCAAUUAUGUUGGUAAUAAAUAUAAUCUAUUUCAAUUAAAAAAAUGAGUAGAAUUUAGUAAUUCAUUAUGACCCAAAUUAUUGGUGAAGUUAAAAUUAAAAUUUUUUCGACAAAAACUUUCAGUACUUAGUACUUAUGUGUAAUUCAAAUCUUUCCAUUAUAUAUCCCAAAUAAGUUAAAAGGCAUGGCGUGGUGUCUACCUUUGCUUAUCCAUGUCAGACUUGCAAUUCUUUAUAUUAACCUUAAUUAUCGGCCUUCAUAAAAAGAUGUGUAAUUAUACAAGUCAAGAGCAAAAAAGAUAUGUUCUCUCAUAUCACUUGGAGUGAUGAGUCCUUUCUGAACCACUCCAUCACCUUCGUAUGUCAUACCAUAUUUAAAACAUUACUUUAAGCACCUAUCAAUGUGAAUCCAUUUGGUGAUGAAUCAAAGUAUGACGGUUAACACAUAAGGAGAGUUUGUGUAAGUCUAAAGAUUGUUUACACUACCAAUACAUGAGACUAUUUCUAUAGGCAUUUGAGUGAAAUACCAAAUGGAACUAUCAUAGCAGGUCAAGUUAUAUUUUAUAAUUUUUUCGAAACUUUUUAAAAAUUAUUCACAUUUUAUUUUUUAUAUUUGUAAUAAAUUUUAUAAUUUUUAUAACUUUUACAUUUUUAAAAUAUUCUAAUAACUUGACAAGCAACAUCAACAUACUUCCACAUGGCAUGUCACAUGUCAACUUGUCAUAGCUUCCGCCAACCACAUCAACAACCAAUAUUGAUAAAAUCAGUCAACAACCGUUUUCGUUAGCGAAAGGAGCCAAUUGAUUUUUUUCUCAUUGAAUGCUCGAUUGGGUCAAUUUUUUUAUUAUGAACUUGAUUGAUUUUUAACUUUUUACUAAGGUGUUUUUUACACUUUAACCUUAUAUUAAUAUUCAUUAUUUUAUUAAAAAACUUAUUUCUAAGUAAUUUUUCCGACCGAAUUGAUAUCGGAUUAACUCCAAUAAAAUAUAUUAUAUAAACAUAUUAAAAUAUAUCAAUAAAGAAAACACCAUUAAUUUGUUUGAAGUCUCGACUUUUUGAGUCUUAAUGGGUGAGAAAUUUCUUAUAUAGAAACUGAAGACGAUAUAUAAAGUAAAUGCCACAUUAAAAGCCCAAUUCUUUGGAAAAUAAAUUCCAUCACGACUGAACCAAAAAUUAAAAUAAAAUCUAUCAUAUUUAAUAUAUUAGUCCAAGAAAAUAAUCGAUAAUAUGAUUACUAAUAAAAAUAACAAGAAAAAUGAUUUAUGUUAGGUUAUAACAAUAUUUUUUUUUUUUUGAACAAUGAGAUUUUGACCUAGACUAUUCCUUGAAAAGGUGAAUACUCGACUAAUAGGCCACAACUUAAAAUUUUUUAAAUUAUAACCAUUUUUAUAAUACAUGAAUUAGGUUUAAAAUAGUAUAAAAUUUAUAAUAUAUACCAACUAUAUAAAAAAUUAUUUAUAAGGUGUCCAAUAACUUCCAAAACACUUCUUAUAAAUAAUAAAUAUUUUUAUCUUAAAAAGUUUUUUUUUUUAAAUAAGUCAUGGAAAAAAAUUAUAAUUGUUUUAUAAAUAAGUAUAUUUUUUUGUAUAACAUAUAGUAUGGACACAUAAAUAAGUUAUAUUUAAAUUUUUUGACCAUAACUUUUUUUUUUAUAAAUAAGUAUUUGCAUAAUAUAGUAUUUGCAUAAUAUAAUGUUUGCAUUAUUGAUACUAACAACAUAGAAAUUUCCAUGAAAAAGGCCUUGAAUCCUUUGAUGAAUUAAGUUCCAUGACAAGGACUGAAGCAAUGACGACAGCUGGCCCCUGCAACUAUUGCAACAAGACCUUGAAUCCUUUGAUGAGUUCCUUUAAAUUCAUCAGUUUGGAAACCAUAACAUAUAUGCUACCACUAAAUCCUUACCAGAUUAAACAUGGCCCCAUCCUUAACCAUUUCUGUUAUUCUAGGGGUACUGUGGGCCACCAUCCUUCUUUCCUUUGCUACAACUGUGACAGCAGCAUAUCCAUCGCCAUUGGAGUCCGAAGCCAUAGCUCUGCUAGAAAGCAGGUGGUGGAGUAACCAUAGCAGCAAUACUUCACAACGUUGCCAGUGGCCUGGUAUAACCUGCAACACUGCUGAAAGCAUCACCCAAAUUAACUUAUCUGAUGCGCCCAACAUUGAGGUUGGAGAUAGAUUUGGGAAACUGAAUUUCUCUUCAUUUCCAAAUCUUGUCCUUCUUGAUCUUAGUGAUCAUCAACUUAGAGGAAAAAUCCCGCAUCAGAUAGGUGAUCUAUCAGCAUUGAAGUACCUUGACUUGUCCAAUUGUGGUUUAUCUGGUGAGUUACCUCCUUCUCUAGGGAAGCUGACCCAAUUAGAAUUCCUCGACAUGUCCUAUAAUGGUAAUAUUAAUGGUUCCAUCCCUCCACAAUUGGGGAACCUAAAGAACCUCGUGACUUUAAACUUAAGGCAAUGUGGAAUUGUUGGUCCAAUCCCUUCUGCUUUGGGUCAAUUAAUCAAUCUCCAAUCUCUGAUCCUUUCGGGGAACCAAAUCAAUGGAUCUAUCCCAUUAGAAAUUGGAUAUUUGAGAAAUUUGACUUAUUUGAGUCUCUCCAACAAUAGAAUUGUUGGUCCAAUCCCUUCUGCUUUAGGUCAAUUAACCAGUCUCCAAUCUCUGAUCCUUUGGGGGAACCAAAUCAAUGGAUCUAUCCCAUUAGAAAUUGGAUAUUUGAGAAAUUUGACUUGUUUGGAUCUCUACAACAGUAGACUUGUCGAUUCAAUACCAAUUACUCUGUACCAAUUAACCAAUUUGGAAAUUUUGUACCUUGAUAAUAACCAACUUCAAGGUUCAAUCCCUUCUUGUGUUGGUAGUUUAUCAAAGAUGCAGUACUUAAGCCUUGAUUCUAAUCUAUUAAAAGGUCCUAUUCCCCAAGAAAUUUGUAAUCUAGCAAAUUUAACUUCAUUGUACCUCUCCCAAAACAAAUUGACAGGUUCAAUCCCUUCUUGUAUUGGUAGCUUAUCAAAGAUGCAGUACUUAUGACUUGAUUCUAAUCUAUUAAAAGGUCCUAUUCCCCAAGAAAUUUGUAAUCUAGCAAAUUUAACUUCAUUGUACCUCUCCCAAAACAAAUUGACUGGUUCAAUCCCUUCUUGUAUUGGUAGUUUAUCAAAGAUGCAGUACUCAAGCCUUACUUCUAAUCUAUUAAAAGGUCCUAUUCCCCAAGAAAUUUGUGAUCUAGCAAAUUUAACUUCGUUGUACCUCUCCCAAAAUAAAUUGACUGGUUCAAUCCCUUCUUGUAUUGGUAGUUUAUCAAAGUUGCAGUACUUAAGCCUUGCUUCUAAUCUAUUAAAAGGUUCUAUCCCAAAAGAAAUUGGCAAGCUUUUUGAUCUAUCAAAUCUAAACCUUAGCUUCAACCAACUCUCAGGUCCUAUCCCUAUCUUGUCUGCUACUCAUCUCUACAUUGUCGACGCUGGAAAUGGUUGUCAAAAGAUUUUUCCCGAUCCAUUUGAAGGCAAUAGUGAUUUAUCACCCUAUAUGUGUCCUACUCCAGUUACCAAAAAAGCCAACAGCAGCAGAAUUCCUUACCAUUUCAAAAUAUUCCUCCCUAUUGCGAUCUUAUUCACAAUCUCCAUUUUAGGAUGUUUGCUAUUUUCACGGUUUAAGCUCAAGAAUAACCAUGUCAACGUACAACCAACCAAGAAUGGGGAUUUGUGUUCCAUAUGGAACUAUGAUGGAAAGAUAGCAUACGAGGAUAUCGUUGCAGCAACAGAGGAUUUCGACUUCCGAUACUGUAUUGGAGUUGGUGGUUAUGGUAGUGUUUACAAAGCAGAACUCCCUUGUGGUAAAGUAGUUGCUUUGAAGAAACUUCAUCAUUUAGAAGCCGAAAAUCCAACUUUUGACAGGAGUUUCAGGAACGAGAUCAAGUUUCUAUCAGAAAUACGACAUCGAAACAUUGUGAAGCUUCACGGGUUUUGUCUACACCGACGAUCCAUGUUUUUGAUCUAUGAAUACAUGGAAAAAGGGAGUUUGUUCUGCAACCUAAGGGAUGAAGUGAAUGCUGUGGAAAUGGAUUGGACGAAAAGAGUAGAGAUCAUCAAAGGCAUAGCACAUGCUUUGUCUUACUUGCACCAUGAUUGCUGCCCUCCGAUAGUUCAUCGAGACAUAUCAAGUAACAAUGUUCUUUUAAACUCAAGUUUUGAGGCCUUUGUGGCCGACUUUGGAACAGCUAGAAUGUUGGAUCUUGAUUCAUCUUAUCGGACCAUUAUUGUCGGAACUUGUGGCUGCGUAGCUCCAGGUGGCGUUUUCUUUUUUUACUUGAUUUACUGACCUUUUCUCUGAACAUAUAAUUGAAUUUCUUCUUACUAAUUUGUGUAUGUAGAACUUGCUUAUACAAUGAUUGUCACCGAAAAAUGCGAUGUUUAUAGUUUUGGAGUGGUAGCACUGGAAAUAUUGAUGGGAAAGCAUCCUGAAG
This 16902-nucleotide long non-coding RNA is filed under the name Gossypium barbadense (sea-island cotton). Its description in RNAcentral is "long non-coding RNA (GBAR_LNC018990)". The record is from RNAcentral. Lineage: Eukaryota; Viridiplantae; Streptophyta; Magnoliopsida; Malvales; Malvaceae.